Molecule: ribosomal RNA, 253 nt
Filed under: uncultured bacterium
Lineage: Bacteria
Description: partial 16S ribosomal RNA
Rfam family: Bacterial small subunit ribosomal RNA
Source: RNAcentral
GCAAGUCGAACGCGAACGAAACCCUUCGGGGUUUUUAGUAGAGUGGCGGACGGGUGAGUAACGCGUAGAUAAUCUACCUUUAAGUGGGGGAUAGCCAUCGGAAACGAUGAUUAAUACCGCAUGUGGAGCUUCGGCUCUAAAGAUGGCCUCUGUUUCAAGCUGUUGCUUAAAGAUGAGUCUGCGUCCUAUUAGCUAGUUGGUAAGGUAACUGCUCACCAAGGCGAUGAUAGGUAGGCGGCCUUAACGGGUGGUC